UGAGUGGGUUUCGUAAAGACUGCCUGAUGU
Molecule: non-coding RNA, 30 nt
Filed under: Rattus norvegicus (Norway rat)
Lineage: Eukaryota; Metazoa; Chordata; Mammalia; Rodentia; Muridae
Source: RNAcentral